This 369-nucleotide ribosomal RNA is filed under the name uncultured bacterium. Its description in RNAcentral is "bacterial SSU rRNA". It matches the Rfam family "Bacterial small subunit ribosomal RNA", at positions 527 to 896 of the family's 1533-position model. The record is from RNAcentral.
GUAGGGUGCAAGCGUUAAUCGGAAUUACUGGGCGUAAAGCGUGCGCAGGCGGUUGUGCAAGACAGGUGUGAAAUCCCCGGGCUUAACCUGGGAACUGCACUUGUGACUGCACAGCUGGAGUACGGCAGAGGGGGAUGGAAUUCCGCGUGUAGCAGUGAAAUGCGUAGAUAUGCGGAGGAACACCGAUGGCGAAGGCAGUCCCCUGGGCCUGUACUGACGCUCAUGCACGAAAGCGUGGGGAGCAAACAGGAUUAGAUACCCUGGUAGUCCACGCCCUAAACGAUGUCAACUGGUUGUUGGGAAGGUUCCUUCUCAGUAACGAAGCUAACGCGUGAAGUUGACCGCCUGGGGAGUACGGCCGCAAGGUUG